Molecule: ribosomal RNA, 216 nt
Filed under: Glomeromycotina sp.
Lineage: Eukaryota; Fungi; Glomeromycota
Description: partial small subunit ribosomal RNA
Rfam family: Eukaryotic small subunit ribosomal RNA (bases 40-216)
Source: RNAcentral
GGGUCAGUAGGUUGGUCGUGCCACCGGUACGUACUGGUCUCACUGAUUCCUCCUUCCUGAAGAACCGUAAUGCCAUUAAUUUGGUGUUACGGGGAAACAGGACUGUUACUUUGAAAAAAUUAGAGUGUAUAAAGCAAGCUAACGCUUGAAUACAUUAGCAUGGAAUAAUGAAAUAGGACGAUCGAUCCUAUUUUGUUGGUCUCUAGGAUUGACGUA